UGCAUCCAGUAGGAAUUGAACCCUCAAAUUUACCAAUUAUGAGUUGGGCGCUUUAACCAUUCAACCAAAAGUCU
This 74-nucleotide transfer RNA is filed under the name Triticum aestivum (bread wheat). Its description in RNAcentral is "tRNA_PseudoCAT". Lineage: Eukaryota; Viridiplantae; Streptophyta; Magnoliopsida; Poales; Poaceae. The record is from RNAcentral.